This 10933-nucleotide long non-coding RNA is filed under the name Eutrema salsugineum. RNAcentral describes it as "long non-coding RNA (ESAL_LNC001128)". Lineage: Eukaryota; Viridiplantae; Streptophyta; Magnoliopsida; Brassicales; Brassicaceae. The record is from RNAcentral.
CCAUCCCACCUAUGAAUCUUCAGAAUAAAGCCAUGUAUGAUAUAGAUCAUCAAAACCUGUAGCUGGUCGCUUGAUAUUGCUUUUAACCAUCCAUCAUGACGGAGUCGAACAUAGGAAGAAUUAUCCUAUUUUCACAAAAAUUUAAUUGAACUAGACCUUCUUUUUUUUUUAACUCAUUAAAAUUUACAAGAAUGAAAAGCCCUUUUUUUUUAGAUUCAAUUUUCGUUUCUGAAAGCAGAAGUGGGUCAAGGGUGGACUGACCACGAGCUCCAAUGGCAAUUCGGUAACUCAAAACGCGCCUCACUAAAAUGGGAACAAGAGUAGGGUGGCAGUAAAGUUCGUGAGCCGUGAUCAUGUAUGGACUACAACCGUUAGGAUAGUCCCAAGCUCACAAAUACUCACACACUCUAAUCGCUUGAGUCGAAUAGUUAUUUGGGUCUUCAGAAAGAUGAGCACUUGUUUAGAGUAAGCAUGUAAAGCGGAUCAACCCUACACCGUUAAGAUAGUCCCACGACCAAGACUGCCAUGGCAUACCAAACUUACAAUCACAAACAAAGUUUAUUAAGAUUAAGAGUAUUUAAAAGAUUAUUUAAUUAACAGAAGAGAUGAAUAUACAAAGGGGAUAUUUUAUUUAUAUCAAACACUCACAAAUUACAAAUUACAAAUACAUAGUGGGUACAAUCACAAACAAAGUUUAUUAAUAUCAAAAGUAUUUAAAAAAUUAUUUAAAUAACAGAAGAAAUGAAUAUACAAAGAGGAUAUUUUAUUUAUAUCAAAUACUCACAAAUUACAAAAACAUUCAAACUUUUUCUUAUAUUCGAUUUCAUGACUUUACUUGGCUUAUUCAAACACUCAAACCUCUUAUUUAUAGUGAUGAAAUUACACACAUUAAUACCUAACUUAGAGCUAUUAUACACUUGAAUACCUAAAUUACUCAUGCAUAAUUAUUUAUUUUUUACUUAUUCAACAUGUGCAUAAUUAUUUAUUCAAUAAAAACAUGUGGCGGCUUAGUUUUUGACAUUUAUUCAUUCGAAAUGUUAACUUUUAAAUGUGAAGUAUUAAUAAGUAAGUCUAGUUAAAUUAAAGUUUAAACUCUAAUAUUAAUAACCUUGUUAACUAUAAAAGCUAAACUUAAGUUUUGCCCGCCAAAAAGAAGCUAAAAAUGAGUAAUUUAAAGCCUUUGAGAAAUGUAAAUGUCCGGAAGUGGAAGCAGCAUUGGACGAAGUGUUGUUUUGGGGACUCUACUGAUUUCCUAUUUUUUUUAUCCAGUUUUCAUGUUUUUUUUAAAACUCUAUUGAUUUUCUGGAUUUUCUGGAUUUUCUGGGAAACGUUUUCCUAAAAAAAAAAAACAAGGGAGUAGAAAAGUGUCAACAAACAACUCGCAUGAGAAGUAGAGAACCCUUUGACUUAAAAAAAAAAAAUCAUAAUAAUUCUCCGAAUAUUUCUGCUCAAAAUAACAAACAGAAAAUAUUUAUUUAUAGCGGGGAAAGAUUGAGAAAAAAAAAAAGGAACACUGAAACAAAGAGAGAGACAUGGCCACUGAAGGAGAAGCGACGUUCUCUGCGGCGGCUGCAACGUCGAGCGAGGCCGCGAGAGGUAUAGGUGGCAAAUUGAGGCGGCAAACCGCGAGGAGGCAUCCGGCGACGCCGUAUUCUCGACCGCCUCAGAACCAGGUUCAACGGAGGCCGUGGAUCUCGAGAAUCGUAGAUCCUGCUUAUCGGAUUAUUUCCGGCGGCGCUACGAAACUACUCCCCUACUUCUUCUCGAACCCAGCCUCCGCUCCUGCUCUUACACCUCCGGAAGAUCAAAAUCAACAUCAAGGUUUAUUUUUCGCUCUUUCUAGCUUCGUAUAAGACUUGUCUUCCUGGGAUUUUCUACUGUUUUGGGGGUGUUGAUUAUAUUAACAUAUCUCUAUGAUUGUAUUUCCGUGUAUACGAGUAUCUAGGGUUUUUGUUGAAAUUGUUUCAAUGCUGGAAUUUAGAAGCCGUAAUCACCAGGAUAGAUAGGGAUCUUUUGGUUUUGAAUCAAGUAAAUUAUAUAUGAGUAAAGGCCUUUUUGUUUGCGUUUCGCUCAUGAUUCUAAUGGUCAAGUAAGAUGCUCUUGUCACCCAAUUUGGUCUUUGUUAUCUUUUGUGCUUGUGAGUCUACUUUCACAUUAUUGUUACUAACUAGCUUUUUAGUAUGAAGUGAGUGAUGGGUGUAUCUUUGCUUGAAAAGUGGGUUUGAACAACAGUUGUCUCAUCUUUUGGGGAUGUAUUUAAAUAAUAGUUUAGAGAGAUGAGUGAUCCCUGCUUCUAGUUGUCUAAUAUAGUCUUAUAGAUUUCGUUGAAAAUGUCACUGUUAACAUUUGGCCUCUUUUUCUACUAGAUAAGUUGCAGGAAGAUCCACAGGAGAAUUAUCCCAGUAUAACACCAAGUUUAAAUGUAAGCUCUUUCGACUCCUCUGUCUUUUCUUAAUCUCUGAUGGAAAAUGCCGCUUUAGCUAAGCUGAGUUUUUGUCCUUGCUAAAGUUUUUUUUUUUUGUUUGUCAUGUACCAUUUAUCACACCCCUUGUGCAAAUAGCAGCUACAAUCUAUAAGCAUUCUUUAUCAUGAUGAAGUCUUAUUCAAAUGAUUUUUUGCUAUAUAUAACUCUUUGCCCUUGGGUCUCUGUAUACAUAGAUCUCUAAAUAUCAAGGUACUCUACGAUAAGAAACUGUUAUUCUCUUAGCGGUAUACUUUAUGUAGGUCAUAAAUGGAAUAAAGAAUGUGUUACCAGAGAAAACAGUCAUGCAAGUUUCUUCUGGGAGAUUGUCGUAAUAUUAAAGUAUAAAAGUAUUCUUGUAUCACCUAAGAAAGAUGUAAUUUUACGGUUCUUGAAUUGGAACUUUCUCUUGAUUCGGAAUAAACUAAAACAAUUUUUUUUCUCUGCUAUCUGUUAUUUCUUCAUAUGAUGCCUGCUUUUGUUGUUAUUUGCGGUAGAAUGGUAUACAUCAAUUUUUCCAUUUAUUUGAUUUGAGAAAUUUGCAGAAACCGGAGUUAGCACCAAUUGAAGAGGGAGGUACUAGUAGUACCGCAAAUGUGAACGAAAGCAAUCUCAAUAUCAGUGCACAGACAAUAGGCAAAGGAGCUUUAAAUGAUGUCAUUGCGAUCUCGGAGCUUGAAAGGCUAAUGGAAGGAAAAACGUUUUCACGGUAUGUUAUAUCAUGUUAGUACAUGAGUUGCUUUUUAAAUGAUGUUUGAUCGAAAUUUAGUUCCUUUUGGUUUUUAUUUUGUUAAUGCUUAUAGUCAUGUCUGGUCAAUAGAUAUCUAUUGACUGGCUGCUUAUCUUUCCUGGCUUUUCUGCAUCUUUCUUUGAAGUUCUGUUUGUUUUUGUUUACAUAGACGGCUUUGACACUGACAUCUUUUAAUCUCUAUCCAGGUCGGAAACUGAUCGUCUCAUAGAGAUAAUAAAUUCAAGGGCUAUUGAUCGACCUGAUGUCACGAGAGACGAGAGAAUAGAGAUUCCUCUGAGAGAGGAAGCCAAGAAAGAUAUGAGUUUUCUUGAUAAGGGAAAAGAGCCCAUUGGUGGCAAGGAUGCUACUAGUGAAUUUUGGGCUACACCAAUCCCACUUGCCAAGUCAAUAGUGAGUCGCUUGCUACCUUUUUUUGUUUGGACGUUUUAACGAAACUAGCAAUUUACAUGGGUUGCUCAGGCUAUUCCACUUUGCCAGAAAAGUUUAGUUUGGCAGGCUUUAGAAGUAAUUUGAGUAUAUAAGUUCUUAAGUUAUGUAUCCAAAAGAAUUUGGUCUAUGAGGUUUGUGUGAGGUUGGACUAUUUGUGAAGUCAUAUGAAGAAAUAGGUAAAUAGGUAGAGCUAUGUAAGUUCACGUACUUCUUUCAUCAAAGAGUUAACUUGUCUUACGUAAGUAGGCCUUAUUUAUUUUAAUUUAUAAUAUACUAACUUUUUCGUCAUUUUCUUUUUUUUUUAAUAGAUUUUUGACGAAGGCAAACAGGUGCGGGAUAAAGCUGGUCUAUCACCGGUAGAACUCGCUAAGGCAUAUAUGGGAGGCCAGGCAUCAUCAAGUACGUCCCAAGGUUUUGUAGCAAGAAACGGAAAGAAUUGUUUCGACGGGGGUAUGCUUGUAGCAAAUUCUUCAGUUGCAUCACCAUCAAGCAAGCCUUCCGCAUGUUGGCCUGGUGUCAAGUUAAAUGAGCAAUGUGGUUUUGCAACUCCUCAAAGCCAACGUGAAAGCUAUGGGCUUCAAAAUUUUCCAAGGACCCCAUAUCCUAGAUCCAUCCUUUCAAGUUCUAAGUCACAGGUGUGUGGAGUUUUUCUGAAUACCUUUUUGCUCAAAGCAUUUAUGUAUAUUGAACUGUUCCCUUUUUUGCUCAGUUGAUGCAAUUGCAAGACAAUAGUAGCAAGCGCCUGAGCACCCUCCAGUCUCCUUCUCAUAGUGUGCAGUCAAGAUAUGGCCAGGUAAACUCUCUCAGUGGGCUAUAUAAUUUUGAUUAGCUGUAAUAUCUAGUGUGCACGUGCUAUUUAUUUUUGUUAAGUUAAAGGCAAUCUUAAUGAAAAUAUGGUAUUCUGCCCGGAUGUGUUGGAUUCCUGUCUGUGUCCAAGUUAUCAUGAUACACUUUCCCUUUGUAUUUCAGCAAGAUGUCCUUCAUAAUCCAAUUAUAUCGUAGUUUUUCAAAAUAUGUGUCCAAGUUGUUCCGCGGGAAUUGUAAAAUAUACAUUUUCUGUUGACCAACUUGAUCAGAUAGGGUGUAGCUUUUUAAGUGUAAAUCUUAUUUAUUAGGAUCGCCUCUCUAUCUCACGGUAGAUGUUAGUAAUUACCACUAGAUUGAUGAAAUCGUUUUCCACUUGCUUAAGCAUUGGUUGACUUGUCGUCUAAUGUAUACUUAAGGUAUGUGAAAUGAUAUGGUGGUAGAUGUGAUUUAGGCAACAGAAGAAUAGAUCGAGUAUGCAGUUGUACAGAUGACUAAAUUUGUGGACAUCUUUGCCUCGACUUUACUGGAGUUAUUUUCAUUUUACAUUCAUUAUGUUGAUCCUCUAGGUCUUGUUAACAUUUUUCAAAACUUGAUUCUAAAUUAGAAUCAUCACUAUGCUGCCUGUUGAAUGUUUCUUGGAUUCCUUCUAUGUGCUGACCCCUAUUUUCUUUGUUGAAACCUGAUAAAUCACUUCCUAAUGUGCCCAGCUCAAUCUUAGCAAGGGAAGGGAUGGUGGACUUUUUGGACCCAGUAGAAGAUCUCGCCAGAGCGCGACGAUGUCUCCUUAUUCACGACCUUUCAGUGGUACAUCUCGUUUUGAAAAAUCUGCUGUCAUGAAGAGCUCUGAAGCAGGAGAAUCAAGUAGCCUAUCUAAGUCCCAGACAACAACUUAUGGUAGGCAUAAAGGGUCAGAAGUUGGUACCCCGACUGUGCCUGCACAUUCUCGUCAGAUUGCUAGGACGAUAUUGGAUCACCUUAACCGGGCUCAGCCGCCCACCCCGAAAAAUAAAUCUGCUGAGUUAAAGCUUGCCACUUCUUGGAGACAUCCACAGUCUUCGAUAGAUGUUGAAAAAAGCAGCUCGAACAUCAACAAUGUGAAGAAGGAUGUCUCAGCCAAGUUGAAUGAAGAUGUCCUGAACGUUUUUUCUCAUAAUUCGCAAUCCUCUGCGCCCAAAGUUUCUGCAGUUACCACCAGUGACUCUCAAAAUGCAAUGGCAAAAAGUGCUUCAGCAUCAAAUGGAAUAUUUAGUGGAAGCAGUAGUGGUACCGCACUCCAAAAUGAGUUAGGGAAGCCUAAGGGAUCUCUUUCCGGAAGCUCACAUGAAAAGGUAUUUCGAGCACCUGUCUUCUUUUUCUUUACCGCAUUUUGCAUGAGGGUUUAGGGUUUUGGUUUCGUUGCUGUUAUAAUGUUUUGACUUUUUGAUUGUGAAGGACCUCAAGAUAUUCCCAAACUUAAGGAUGUAAAUAAGCCUCAUGACGUUUUGCUUCUUUUGUGACUUUAUAGUAAUCUAGAUUUCUUUGGAAACGGGAUAUACUUCUAACAGUUGGUAAUUUUGUGGUAGUCAUGUAUCUCUGUUGACAGUUUUGAGAUUUAAAAUUGUGGAAAACUGAAUUGCAGUUGGUCGCUUCUUCUCAGGACGCUACAAAAGCUGUUUCCUAUACUUUUGGAGGCGAUUCCGGAAAUCUCCAUAAACCACCAUCUAAUUCACUGGGAAAUAAUAAACGGGUGCUUCCAUCGAUCUCAGUAUCCAAGCCUUUCCAAUGGGCAGGCCCUUCGGGUUCAAACGCUAGCUUCACAUUCCCGGUCUCUUCAUCUGAUGGAGCAACAUCAUCGGAGCCGACAACUCCAUCUAUCAUGCCAUUCACAACAAGUGCAGCGCCAAGUGGUGGUCUUGCCAUUACAAGUCGUCAUGAAGCAACAAAAGAAGAUGAGAUUCCUCAGUUUGGUUUCGGCGGUAAGAGAGGAGAUAAGCUGCCUCUGGUGUUCGCUUUUCCCGCUACGAGCGAAGAAUUGAUCAAUGAGGAUGAUGAGAAGUUAGGUAUCAAAUUCACAUUUGGAUCUGAAAAGCCAGAGAGAAUAUCGUUCAGCUCACCAGGAAGUGAUGGUGUUUGCUGUUAGAACAAGGACGACGGUCUCUGUUUCAUUUUUUUUUUUCGUUUUCCAAUCUUUUUGUCAUGAAGAUUUUGUUCCUUCGGGAGAGAUGUAAUUCGUGAUGCUACUUUUCUGAAACUCCUAAGUUUAUUGAAGUCAUUCCCAGUAUUCAAGGAAGUCUUAAAAGAGUGAAAAUAAAGAACAAUGUACACGAACGCGAUACCUCAGUCAUAAGUAAAUAACUAAUUUACAUGUCUCGACGCAUGAUACAAAGCAAAGUAAAGCUUCUCUUUUGUCUUUUUACAGACGAACACUCGUGUGUGGUGGUGAGUGUUCCUCAUCUUCCUUUGAGCUGCCCUUCUUUUUUUUUUGGUUGGGCUUGUUCUCUCCUCAUGUGCUCGAUUUAUGCUGGAUUUCAGGUUUUGCAGCCACAGUGGAGAAGGAAGCACACCCGAUUUCUACUUCUUGUCAAUCCCAACACAAAAUUCGCCUUCUUUCCUCGCGCGAUUUCUUCUUCGGACAACAACAAUGGCUCACUUUCAUCCUCCAGACAAAACAACGUAUUAUUUACUCACCACCAUCUCUUAUCUCUUUGAAAAUCGUAUACAUUCUCAUUCUUACUCACAUUCUCAUUGGUGGAAUUCCACCUUUUUCUCCCCUGUCUUUGAAUAGCGAAACUUGGGUUAUGAUCCUUCAGAGGAACUGUUUGGUGAUGAUUUCAAGCCCAGGUUAGAGAUUCCAUAACUCUUUCCAUGUCGAUUUCAUUUUCUUCUGUUCUUCAUUUUUGUAAUUACUCCACCACAUUGAGUCUGAUCACACUGUUAUGUUGACUUAUUAUAGUUCUGUUGAUACUCUCAGUUUCCUGGAAAAGCUGAACUAAAACUCGAAACCACUUAGAUUUACUGUAAGAACCAAACAAACCCAAAGCGGUAAUAAAAGCUCAAAGCUUUUUCCCUUUGUUUGAAAAAAACCCAUUAAACCUCCAAAGCUCUCUCUAGCCUGGAUGACUCCAUGCUUAUCCUUAUUUGUACUAAAACGUAAAAGCAAAGCACUUCGAAGAACAUGAAAUAAAGAAAUGAAGAUCCUUAAUGAUUUCAUAAAUCAAGAAAUUAACCAUGGCCAAGAUGAUUAACAAAAUCUUUUAAUACAUAAUUUGAUUGAACAUCAAAACGUGCUAUUGGUGAUGGUUUCUUCAGGAAUGUAUCUGGUGAUUCUCGCGAGCCGAGGUCAUGGUUUGGUCCCAACGGUCAGUACAUUCGAGAGCUUCCUUGUCCUACUUGUAGAGGAAGAGGUUAUACUUCAUGCUCAAAUUGCGGGAUCGAGAGGCCGAGGCUGGAUUGCCCUCAAUGCAAAGGAAAGGUACUUAAAGAGUUUAUGGCUUCUGAACAGAUUGACUUCAAACUUUUGAGUAACAAAACACUCUUUCCUCGUUAUUGAACUAUGCUUAAAUAUGUGCAGGGCAUAAUGACUUGUCUCAGAUGCUUGGGAGAUUGUGUCAUCUGGGAAGAAUCAAUCGAUGAACGACCUUGGGAGAAAGCUAGAUCAAGGUAGUGUGAUUCAAGAAGAGUUGACAUCUCAACUCUGUUUAUUGUUGACUAAUAAAUCUCUUCCUUUUUCUUAUGACUCAGUUCUCCAUUUAGAGUAAAGGAAGACGAUGAGGUUGAUAAUUUAGAGAUAAAGUUCAGUAGAAGAGGCAAAUCUAAGCGGAUUUACCAGUCACCGCCUCCUGAAGUUGGACAAAAGAUCAGCCGAUCUUUAAAAGUUAGUUUCAGAAAUUCUUCAUGAUAUUAUAAUCUCUCCAUGGGGGAUUGUUAUAUUCAGUUUCAAUAUGCUUUUAUAGAGUCUCAAUGCCAAGACCGGACUUUUUAGUAAGCGAAUGAAGAUUAUACAUCGUGAUCCCGUGCUUCAUGCUCAAAGGGUAGCUGCAAUUAAGGUCAGUAAUCAACUCCAUUUGUUUUAAACACUAAAUUAACAUGGAACAACUUUUGAUUUUUUCCUUGAUUCUGCUAAGUGUUAUUGUGCUUUAGAAAGCUAAAGGAACACCAUCUGCUAGAAAGCAUGCGUCCGAAUCUAUGAAAACUUUCUUCAGUAACCCUGAAAACCGUGAAAAGAGGAGCUUAUCCAUGAAAGGUACAUCUGAGUUUCGUAGCUCAAUUUAUAGCUCCUUUAUUAUUGUUGCUGGAACUUUCUCUGCUUGCAUUUGCUAGUAAUGUGAGAUGAAUUAGGUUCAGGCCUGUUACUUUAAGUAGCAGUAGUAUAUCGUUGGAUCACACUGGCACUGAAUAUUUCGUUAAUGUGGGUGUCAGCGAAUAGAAAUAAAGGUUUUGCUUUUCUUUUCCUGGUGACAGAUUCUUGUGCAAGCCAUGAAAUGGUAAAGAAUCAUUUUUCUAAAAUAAUUCUCAUUUUCAGGAAUUAAAUUUUACUGCAAGAACUGCGGAGAGGAAGGCCAUAGACGCCAUUACUGUCCAGACCUGGAAACUGAUGUGGACAGAAGGUAUAAGUGUCGGGUUUGUGGCGGGAAAGGCCACAACCGAAAGACCUGUCCUAAGUUGAAAUCAAUGGUCACUAAAGGCAUUUCCACAAGGUAUCACCGAUGUGGAAUAUGCGGUGAGAGUGGUCACAACAGUAGAACAUGCCGGAAGCUGACAAGGGUAGUGAAACCGAGUGACGAUUCCGGGGAAGAUGGUGUUGGGAAGAGAGGGUAUGCUUGUGGGUUCUGCAAGAAAAAGGGACAUAAUGUGAGAAACUGUCCAAGUAAACGAGUAUCAAACAGUGAAUCUUGCUUAGAGCAAGAAAGUUCUUGAUCAUGUUUCUUUGGUUAGGUUUGGUUUUGCUUUGAAGCAGAAAUAACCAAUCACUUUUAAGGGAUAGAUAUAUUUCGGUUUAGAAUCAAACUUUGAGUCCCUGAACGGUCUUUCCUAACUUCCCCCCCCCCCCCCCCCAACAUUAGUAUUCUCUUAUCCAUCUCAAUCGGUUAUUAUUAGGAUGUUAUAUUUAGUAUGAACGCUAAAAUUAUAAUCAAAAAGCCAAAAAAGUAAUUAGUCACGUUAUCUUAAUUAGUGGAUCAAAAUUUAGGAACGGAGAAUAACUUUACGCGCUAAAAAUAACAACAAAGAAAGAAGAAAACAAAAAAAAAAAAGCUAGGCAGACAAAAUUGACCAAAGGUGAGAGAUAGAAAUAUCCAAGAUGGAUUUAUUCAACAACUACCACACACACACAGACAGAGACACACCACGUACGCGUCUUCCCGUAUCUUGCGUCAAUGACCCCUUAAGAACCUCUCUCUGUGUCCCUAUAUAUAUAAUAAGUCUCUCCUUUACGACUUUUGAGCCACAAGACACAAAAGAAAAAUCAAAGGGGUCAUUAAAUAUCUUUUCUAUAGACGACAUAUCAAGUUAUCAACCAAGAAAAGAAAUUAAAAGAAGGGGGGUGACCUGAGUUGUUUCAACACAAACACAAAAAUGACCGGAGUUUUCAAAACGGUGACGUUUAUGGUUUUGGUUUUCGCUGCGGUUGUUUUCGCAGAGGACUACGAUGUCGGUGAUGAUACGGAAUGGAUAAGACCUACCGAGCUCGAGUUCUAUACUAACUGGGCUGCCGGUAAAACUUUCCGUGUCGGCGACGAGCUCGGUGAGUUUCAUAUGUACUUUGUGUUCUGUUUCAGUCCAUAUUAAGUACGUGUCGGUGAUUGUUAUGUCUUUGUUUCUAUUUUUGUUGAAUAGAUUUGUUAUAAAAAAACAAAAAGAUCAAGUGCGUUUGCACACACUGAUGUUAAUAGUUCACACUUUUUUUUGAAUAAAGGCAUAGGUCACGCAGAGAUCAAAUCUGAAAGACUCUGACUAUAUAUAUGUGCAUUUUUUUUUUUCAUUUUAUUGUUAUGAUAACAAUUUUUUGUGUAUGAUUAUGAUCACACAGAAUUUGAUUUCGCUGCUGGGAGACAUGAUGUGGCAGUUGUAACAAAAGAUGCAUAUGAAAACUGCGAGAAAGAGAAACCAAUCAGUCACAUGACGAUUCCUCCGGUCAAAAUCAUGCUAAACACCACCGGACCACAAUACUUCAUCUGCACCGUCGGUGACCAUUGCCGCUUUGGUCAAAAACUUGCCAUCGAUGUAGUCGCUGCUGGUGGUGGAGGAAGCCGUGGCGGUUCUACCACCCCAGCACCUGGUGCCGGAGGCACCAACUCCACCACCCCAGGAGCCGGGACCACUACACCUUCUGGUCCUACCGGGACCACUACUACUACACCUCCGGCUGGAAGUGGUGCUGCUUCUUCGUUAGGUGGUGCAUCUGUUUUGGUCGCCUUUCUUUCUGCUCUUGUUGCUCUCUUUUAAAUUUCAUUAGACUUGAGAGAGAUAUUGAGUUAAAUCAAUAUGUAUGUCUAAUUUGUUUCAGC